CAUAUAAUGAGGAUUAAAAGUUAGGGAUCUCAUUGCCCCAAAACGUUCAGUUUCAUUUCGAUGGGCAUCUCAAGGACUCAGAGGAAGGCAGGCUUUUCAUCUACAGGAGCAUGGAGACUUCAGGUAUCCUGCUUGCUGGCUUUGCAUAGGUCUUUACACUGAGUGAAUGGCUGUGCAUUUGUUGUAGAUUCAAGGGCUAAAGAAGUAAAGGGGAGAGAAGAGAUUACCCUUUCAGAACCCCGAUUCCCUCUAAACCUAAGAUGACAACACAUAACUUUGCUCAGUGGAUGAGUUUGUGGUGCCGGUCACUGGUGCUGAACACAGAAGGGACAGCUGUGGAAGGGGCUUUGCCAAGAGAAGCAAACAAGAGAAUGGAAACACGCCCUGUACCGAUGCCCUCGCUUGCACGCGUGAGGGCGGCAGGGACUUCGUGUCCAGCUGUCCCCACUCCGCCCUGACUCUGGAGAUGAGAUGAGGCACCUCAGAGGAUGGAUGGGUCACUACUUUCGAGGAUGCAGAUGGCAGCUGUGGUCCCUUCUCUUUGCUCAGGACAGAGCUGUCACGUGGGAGCAUCUUCCACUCCUGCCAGUAAUGCCAAGUCCAUUGCGAGUGUGUAUGCUCGGCCAGGGCGGCUGCCUGGUGUGUGCAAGAGGUGCAAAGUGAGAGGGUUUUCUUCCCCACACCGCCCCUCGGGAGUCUCACGCAUUCCCCAGGCCUCUCUCUCGGCGCCAUCUUUUCUCGUGUCUCCCGCCCCUUCUGCGCACUGGUAUUAGAGAUGCUCCUAUUUCACUGUGAACUGACUCAGUUGGACUUUAAACAUUGUUUUAUAUUCCUUGCUACAAUUUCCAUUCCAGCCAGGAGUGUCAGAAUCUCUGAAGUGACCAAUUUAUUCAAAGGGCACACUCUGGCCAAAAGCCUGCUCUGACCAAAUAUGUGUGUAGUAGGAUUGUCUUCAGCAUCUCUUCCCCUCCCCGGUGGCAAGUGUCCUCAGGAGCUUGUGGUGAGCAAGAUACCAUGAAUAAUUCUUUCUCCGCUACCCUUGCAUGUAUCCUGGGCACCAUAUCUCAGGUCAUCUUGGGCACAGCUUACAAAUAGCUGUUACCUUCUCCCUGGAAGCUGCUGUGUCCAUCAGGAGCUGUUGUGCUUCCAGCGGAAGGGUGUGACAGUGCUGGUAUUUUAGGCUCCUAGGCAGAGAACAAAGGAGGCAGACUUUUUGAAACACGGUAGGGGUAUAGGCACCUAGAUCGUUCUUGGAGGUGAUUGUCCAGAAACUAUGGCCUGGAGACACUGCUGAGUUCACUGCACUGAACUCAGUUUCUAUGGUGCUGAGACAGCAGGGUGGCUUUUUGAAGAGCUUCAAGAAUUAGCCCCAGGCCCGCAGUGAGAGAGAGAGAGAGAGAGAGAGAGAGAGACUGUGAACAGUUAUGCAGAUUGUGAAUUGCUAGAGGGGUACGUGUAUGGAGGCACGAUUCAUAUGGCAAACACUGACACAUGUUUAUUAUGACAAUCAGCCAGCAGAGACUAAUGUAUACACGGACCCAGGGCCUUGUGUAUGCUAGGUAAGUGCUCUACCGCCCAGCAACAGCUUUAGCCCCAGAGGCCUAUUUCUAAUUAAGAGACAGGAGAGGCCAAGUCGGAUUCCAGGAGAGACAGGCAGGCUCUAGCGUCUUCCUUGUGGGCUCUCCCCACUCUGUCCAUCAUUCUUCCCUGUCACUCAGGCCCAGCCAUCCUCAUCUAUUUUACCAGCUCCUAGGCUGGCUUGUUCCACAGUGUCCUUGAGGUCCCAUGUGCCUGACGGGCCCUGACAGGUCUGCCCAUGAGCUAGCCAGCCCACAGCCUCUCCCCUUCCUGCCCCCAGCCUCUGGUACUCCUUCCCUUCAUGGAGCUUCCUGCAGCGCUCCCUCUCACCCUAGUCUUUUCACCUGCUGGCUUUCAGCCUUCCUGGUUUGAAUGAGAAUGUACCCUAACUCAUGGCCUCAGCUGUGAGGGGAAGAGAAAAGGGAGCCCCUCAACUUCUGAUGAGGGAAGUCCAUGUUCCUUAGGCAGGCAGGACUUAACUAUUUUGGGACUGUGACCUUUGGUGUUCUGGAAAUCCUGGCAUCCUUUCCCUCUCCUGACAGCACAUCGCAUCUUAGCUGGGGCUGUCAUCGGCAGCCCUGCCCUUCCUGAUCCAGUGCCCUCCAGAUUUUGAACUUUGAGCCUUACAAUCAACCUCGGCUACACCAACUUUCACUGUGUUCCUCCAAAGCGCCAAGACCCUGCUGAUUCAGGCUCUUCAUUCAUGCUGUCCUUUUCGCCUGGAACUACACACAUCCCCCAACUUAAGCUCAACAGCCCACCCCUCCACAAACUGCCGGCCACCGUAUUUUCAAACCUCUCUCACUGUAAAUGUACUUCCUCAGAAAGCCUCCCUGAUCCCUGAGAUUAGAUCUCUUCUGUUAGAUGUGCUUAGUGUAGGGGCAGCAAACUGUUUCUAUAAAGGGUCAGAAAGUAAAUAGCUUCAUCCUUGCUGGCCAUCUGGUCUCUGUAGCAACUACUCAACUCUGCAGUUGUAGCAGACAUCGUUCAUAGAUGAUAGGAAAAUGAAUGGGCACAAAAUGUGUUCAAAUAACAUAUUUUGUUAAAAUCAAACAAACAGGUAGUGGGACAUAGUCCAUGAACCAUAAUUUGCCAAUCCGUGCCUUAGAGCAGGGAUCCCUAACUCCUGUUAGGCUCUGGGCUACAAAUGAGGAGGUGAGCAGCAGCAAAGGGAGAUAAGCUUUAUCUGUAUCUAUAGCCACUCCCCAUCGCUUCCUUUGGUGUCUGAGCUCCAUAACCCCCUACUUCUGCCCUCCUGUCUGUGAAAAAAUUCUCUCUCACAAAGGCAGUCCCUCAUGCCAAAAGGGUUGGGGACCUCUGUCUUAGAGCAUCCUAUCUUUUUACUUCCUAGUAUUUAUAGUAAUAUGUAACUAAAUCAUUGUAUCUGUGUGCUCUGGAAUAUCUGCCCUUGCUCCCUAAACUUCUUUUCUACAAAAACAGUGAUCAUGCCUACCUUGUAGCAUCCAGCCAGAACAAUAGGCACUCAAAUAAAACAACAAGUCAAGCCACACCAGUUUACCCAUCAGCCUUUAUGCUAAGCCCUCAGUUUGAGCAAUGGGAAAAGGACCUUUACCCUUUCUUGUAGAUGAUGAUAACUUGAAUGAUAAGGAAGCUAGGACAGCAAGAGUAGAGGUGUAAAAGAGGCUAUCUGAUGCCUCACUAAACAUACAGAGGGCGAGUAAGCAUGUGGAAAGAUGUUCAACAUUACAUGUCACUGGGAAUUGCAAAUUUAAAUGAAGAGCUACCACUACACACCUAUUAAGAUGGCCAAUAUCAAAAGCAUUAACAACAUCAAAUGCUGGCAAGGAUGUGAAGCAAGAAGAAUUUUUGUUUGCUGCUAGUGGAAAUGCAAAAUGGUACAGCCAUUUAAGAAGGCAUCUUCACAAUUUCUUUCAAAACUAAGCACCAUGCCCUUACCAUAUGAUCUAGCAAUCAUGCUCUUUGAUAUUCACCCAAAGGAAAGGACAACUUAUGUGCACAGAAAACUGCCCAUGGAUGUUGGUGGCAGAUGUAUUCAUAACAUGGAAGCAACUCUGUGUCCUUUGGGAGGUGAAUUAAGAAAUUAUAUACAACUAGACAAUGGAAUAUUAUUCAGCACUACAAAGAAUUGAUCUAUCAAACCAUGAAAAGACAUGGAGGAGACUUAAGUGCGUAUGACUGAGUAAAAAAAAAGCCAGUCAGGAAAAGCUACAUACUGUAGAAUUCCAAUUAUAUGACCUUCUGCAAAAGGCCAAGUUUUGAAGACAGUAAAAUAACAGUGAUUUCCAGGGGUUUAGGAGAGGGAGGCAUGAAAUAGGCCCAGUGCAGAUGUUGAGGGCUGUGACACUACCCUAUGUUAUACACAAUGAUGGGUGUGUGUAAUCCAUUCUAUGUUUGCCAACCCCUGUGGCAAUGUACAACACUAUGAAUGAACUCUGUUGUAAACUAUGGACUACGGGUGAUACUGAUGGGUCAUUGUAGGUGCGUCAGUUGCAACAAAUCUGCCCCUCUGCAGGAUAUCUACUGUGGGGGAGGUUGUGCCUAUGUGGGACAGGGUACACAAGAACUCUGUACUUUCUGCUCACUUUUGCUGUGAACC
Molecule: long non-coding RNA, 4156 nt
Organism: Heterocephalus glaber (naked mole-rat)
Lineage: Eukaryota; Metazoa; Chordata; Mammalia; Rodentia; Bathyergidae
Source: RefSeq, a predicted model, not a curated record